Brassica napus (rape) is the source of this 1282-nucleotide RNA transcript. RefSeq lists it as uncharacterized. The transcript is spliced from 8 exons. The record is from RefSeq and is a predicted model, not a curated record. NCBI's taxonomy places the organism in Eukaryota, Viridiplantae, Streptophyta, Magnoliopsida, Brassicales, Brassicaceae.
GACGCUUUCUCGCAAUCGUCUUCCUCGAUAGAGCUAGGGUUCUCUUUGAAUCUCUGAUCUCCCUUAGGUGAAACUUCUACUAUAAAAAUGUAUUUGUUCUUCCCAGAGAUAUCAUCCUCAAAAUCCUACUAUAUUAGAAACUUAUUCCUUAUUCUUAUGGCUAACAUAUCUACCAUUCUUGCUGAUCUCAAAUCUGGAUGUUGCUCAUCCACGGUGGAGGUGUUGUUCCUCCGGUUUGGGAAGCUAGAAACAUUAAACGUGGUGGCGACCUACCAGUAGUAGAUAUGUUAAUUCUGGAUUCUAAGGCGACCCUCAUGGAAGCUACCGUGGAGUUUAGUCACGGCCAGUCUUCGGUGGGAACCGUCAUCCGAGUUGAAUCGUCUAGAUUUCUUCUCACCGGCUAUGUGAAUCUGGAAGCAUCACAGACUGCAAUCGUUGGCAUUAGCGCUUUUAUUAACUCCUGCACGAAUGGGCAAAUGAGUCAUCUUUCUACAACAAAUCGUCUGAGUGUUUUUUUUUUACGCUCAAGCAUCUUAACCAGAAGUUGUUGGCCAUGGAUGUGGAGCCUGAGGUGAUGUGGCUACCAGUAAUAACCCCAAGUUCAUGGGAGGUUAGGCUGGCUUUUCCUAAAUGCAACUUCUGGCACACAUUUAUACUUACUUUGAAAAAGAAACAAGUGACAGUGACACCUUCCUAGCCAGCUUUGGUAAUGGUGAAUUAGCCUCUUCCACAAGUUCGAUCAAAUAUAGUGGUGUUAAUAAGAUAGAAACAGUAACAGUGUCAAAGCUCAACACCUAUGUGGUCAACUCUACACCUCAGGUACCGUGUGGAGAUGACCUUCUCGGAUGCGACUUACUGGGCUGUGUUUGAUGUCUAGGUUAACAAAUGUGCAUGCGGCGGAAGCGGGAGAGCUCAUGACCCUUUAGAUGCAGAGGUCCCACGAUUUAUGCAAGAACUUGUGGGGGAAAACAUACGGCCCAGAAAGGCGCAACUAUCCUGAAGGUGAUAUAUGCAACUGCUCAGAUGGUGAGAAAGCUGCUACUGACCAGAUCACUGAAGGUGAUGACAACCUCUCAAACCACCCGGGGGUAUGGGAUGCAACAGCCGCUGCUGAGCAGCCCCACUUCUGGCAGAAGCAAUGCAGAGGAACAACUGGUUCCAGCAGGAGGAAACGCACUAAAAAGCACAUAUCUCCAUCAAGUUUUAUGAUAUCUGAACCAUGUUCGCUUCUUUCAUAAAUAAUAACGUCUUUCUAAUCAUUACAUUCAUGUGUUGGAUCUCA